GAUGAACGCUAGCGGCAGGCUUAACACAUGCAAGUCGAACGGUAACAGAACUAGCUUGCUAGUUGCUGACGAGUGGCGGACGGGUGAGUAACGCGUAGGAAUCUACCGAGUAGUGGGGGACAACAGUUGGAAACGACUGCUAAUAUCGCAUACGACCUACGGGUGAAAGGGGGCCUCUUCUUGAAAGCUCUCGCGACUAGAUGAGCCCAAGUGGGAUUAGCUUGUUGGUGAGGUAAGAGCUCACCAAGGCGACGAUCCCUAGCUGGUCUGAGAGGAUGAUCAGCCACACUGGAACUGAGACACGGUCCAG
Molecule: ribosomal RNA, 310 nt
Filed under: uncultured bacterium
Lineage: Bacteria
Description: bacterial SSU rRNA
Rfam family: Bacterial small subunit ribosomal RNA
Source: RNAcentral